UAGAGACCGAUUAAGUUUGUUAUUGAGCUUUCGUGUGCAGGCACACUUCUUCAGAUAUCUGAAGAAUCUUCUGGUCUUCAGAUAUCUGAAGAAUCUUCUGGUAUCUGAAGAAGUGUGCAUGCACAUGAAACCUCAUACCAAUAACAAACUUAGUUGG
Molecule: microRNA precursor, 157 nt
Filed under: Podarcis lilfordi (Lilford's wall lizard)
Lineage: Eukaryota; Metazoa; Chordata; Lepidosauria; Squamata; Lacertidae
Source: RNAcentral